Molecule: ribosomal RNA, 445 nt
Filed under: uncultured bacterium
Lineage: Bacteria
Description: partial 16S ribosomal RNA
Rfam family: Bacterial small subunit ribosomal RNA
Source: RNAcentral
GUAGGGAAUAUUGGACAAUGGGCGCAAGCCUGAUCCAGCCAUGCCGCGUGCAGGAAGACGCAUCUAUGGUGUGUAAACUGCUUUUGUACGGGAAGAAACACUCCCUCGUGAGGGAGCUUGACGGUACCGUAAGAAUAAGGAUCGGCUAACUCCGUGCCAGCAGCCGCGGUAAUACGGAGGAUCCAAGCGUUAUCCGGAAUCAUUGGGUUUAAAGGGUCCGUAGGCGGUUUAAUAAGUCAGUGGUGAAAGCCCAUCGCUCAACGAUGGAACGGCCAUUGAUACUGUUAGACUUGAAUUACAAGGAAGUAACUAGAAUAUGUAGUGUAGCGGUGAAAUGCUUAGAUAUUACAUGGAAUACCAAUUGCGAAGGCAGGUUACUACUUGUGGAUUGACGCUGAUGGACGAAAGCGUGGGGAGCGAACAGGAUUAGAAACCCGGGUAGUCC